CCUACGGGAGGCAGCAGUAAGGAAUAUUGGUCAAUGGACGCAAGUCUGAACCAGCCAUGCCGCGUGCAGGAUGACGGCCCUCUGGGUUGUAAACUGCUUUUGUACGGGAAGAAACCUCUCUACGUGUAGAGAGCUGACGGUACCGUAAGAAUAAGGACCGGCUAACUUCGUGCCAGCAGCCGCGGUAAUACGAAGGGUCCAAGCGUUAUCCGGAUUUAUUGGGUUUAAAGGGUGCGUAGGCGGCUUAUUAAGUCAGUGGUGAAAGACUUCAGCUUAACUGAAGAACUGCCAUUGAUACUGAUGAGCUUGAAUAUACUUGAGGUGGGCGGAAUGUGUCAUGUAGCGGUGAAAUGCUUAGAUAUGACACAGAACACCGAUUGCGAAGGCAGCUCGCUAAAGUAUGAUUGACGCUGAGGCACGAAAGCGUGGGGAGCAAACAGGAUUAGAUACCCUGGUAGUCCACGCCCUAAACGUUGAUAACUCGAUGUGUGCGAUAUACAGUACGCGUCCAAGCGAAAGCAUAAGUUAUCACCUGGGAAGUACGUCGCAAGAUUGAAACCUNAANAGAUAGAGNGNGAGAGNGCGAGGAGACGACGAGGGAGAGG
This 605-nucleotide ribosomal RNA is filed under the name uncultured bacterium. RNAcentral's name for it is "bacterial SSU rRNA". It matches the Rfam family "Bacterial small subunit ribosomal RNA", at positions 338 to 944 of the family's 1533-position model. The record is from RNAcentral.